GCGGAAGGAUCAUUACCGAGUGAGGGCCCUCUGGGUCCAACCUCCCACCCGUGUUUAUUUUACCUUGUUGCUUCGGCGGGCCCGCCUUAACUGGCCGCCGGGGGGCUUACGCCCCCGGGCCCGCGCCCGCCGAAGACACCCUCGAACUCUGUCUGAAGAUUGAAGUCUGAGUGAAAAUAUAAAUUAUUUAAAACUUUCAACAACGGAUCUCUUGGUUCCGGCAUCGAUGAAGAACGCAGCGAAAUGCGAUACGUAAUGUGAAUUGCAAAUUCAGUGAAUCAUCGAGUCUUUUGAACGCACAUUGCGCCCCCUGGUAUUCCGGGGGGCAUGCCUGUCCGAGCGUCAUUGCUGCCCUCAAGCCCGGCUUGUGUGUUGGGCCCCGUCCCCCGAUCUCCGGGGGACGGGCCCGAAAGGCAGCGGCGGCACCGCGUCCGGUCCUCGAGCGUAUGGGGCUUUGUCACCCGCUCUGUAGGCCCGGCCGGCGCUUGCCGAUCAACCCAAAUUUUUAUCCAGGUUGACCUCGGAUCA
RNAcentral lists this ribosomal RNA (528 nucleotides) under Penicillium solitum. RNAcentral's name for it is "eukaryotic LSU rRNA". The stretch from base 192 to 345 matches the Rfam family "5.8S ribosomal RNA". The record is from RNAcentral. Lineage: Eukaryota; Fungi; Ascomycota; Eurotiomycetes; Eurotiales; Aspergillaceae.